Molecule: long non-coding RNA, 1116 nt
Filed under: Marmota monax (woodchuck)
Lineage: Eukaryota; Metazoa; Chordata; Mammalia; Rodentia; Sciuridae
Source: RNAcentral
GACAGUUUCAACAUGCCAUUCUAAAACUAUGUGAGAAUACAGCAUAAUAAAAUAUAGAAUAAAAUAUAACAAUAUUAAAUAUGUAUUUCUAUAUUCGUAAGUGUCACAAACUACCAUUUUUAAGUCUACUCAAUUGGUUCAGAAGGAGAAAGUUGAUUUAAGAACUGAGGAUUGAUGUUGGGAGUCAUAACUGAUGAACAUGAAUACUUUCUGAUCUGUGGGACAUGUAAUCAUUUAAGAUUCUAAGACUCAUUGGAGUUUGGUCUCUAGGAACUUGUAGUCACUAAGUAGACCUGGCUGUCAUUAUGCACAUGUUUUCCUUUCUUUUUUUGGAGGGGUGGUAACAAGAGAUUGAACCUUGGGGCACUUAACCACUGAGCCACAUCCCCAGCCCUUAUUAUUUUUUAUUUUGCACAGGGCCUUGCUGAAUACUGAGAUUGGCUUUGAACUUGUGACUCUCCUGCCUCAGCCUCCUGAACUGCUAGGACUACGGUUGUGCACCACCACACCAAGCUAUACGCAGAUUUUUCUAGUGCCUAUAAUUCAUCCUCCUUCAGUUUAAGUCACCAAACAUUACCUUUCCUCCUAACUUUUACACAUUACGGUCAAUCUAAAUUCUCCAUUCUAUUCUCUACCAUUUAUUUGCAUACCUCAUGUUUUCCAGGCAUAUUCAUAUCAUUUCAUAAAUUAAUAUUAAUAUAUAUUAUUUCAUUUUUUAAUAUUUGAUGCUUUGGAAUGCAUACCUGGACCUUCCUAAUUACUUUUAUUUUGGGCCAUGAAGCUUCUGUAAGUGACUAAACUAAUACUGGCCAAUUUUUAUUGAGCACUUUGUUGUAACCACAUUACACUGAUGUAACUCAAUAUGUUUACUGAUUUAAAUUACAGGGAAACUCUGUAAUACAGAUACCAUUUUAAACUCCCAUUUUAUGUGGAGCAAUCAAAGACAAAAAUUGAAGUAACUUUCAUAAGACCACAGAUAUAAUAGAAAAUCAAACUAGAAUUGAGUAUUUUAGUCAUGGUUCUAGAGUCAGCCCUCUUAACCACCAGAGCAGACUAUAUGUCACAGAUUCCUAUACUGAUUUUAAGCAACAGAAAACUAUUAGAAAAAUGCGUUAC